Molecule: ribosomal RNA, 441 nt
Filed under: uncultured bacterium
Lineage: Bacteria
Description: bacterial SSU rRNA
Rfam family: Bacterial small subunit ribosomal RNA
Source: RNAcentral
AGUGAGAGUGGCGCACGGGUGCGUAACGCGUAUGCAACCAACCCUCAUCCGGGGGACAGCCGGUGGAAACGCCGGGUAAUACCCCAUGCCGAUUCCUGUGGGCAUCCACGGGGAUUGAAAGACUUCGGUCGGAGGAGGACGGGCAUGCCGUCCCAUUAGCUAGUCGGCGGGGUGACGGCCCACCGAGGCGACGAUGGGUAGGGGAUCUGAGAGGACGGUCCCCCACACUGGUACUGGAGUACACGGACCAGACUCCUACGGGAGGCAGCAGUAAGGAAUAUUGGGCAAUGGGGGGAACCCUGACCCAGCCCAUUGCCGCGUAGAGGGAAGUAGGCCCUACGGGUCGUGAACCUCUUUUGUCCAGGGACAAGGACGGGGUCGGGAACUCCGUUUGAGGGUACUGGAAGAAUAAGCAUCGGCUAACUCCGUGCCAGCCGCGGC